CGUUAAUGUGUUUUGUAUUCCUAAUGGAUUCCUGAAGCUGUCUAACUACGGUGAGAAAAUGUUGAGUCAGAAAAAAAGAAAAAAAGCCUUUAGUCAAAGUCUGCCGCCUAAUUUUGUUUGUAUACAUAUGUGCGGCUUUCUUAACACAUCAAGAAAGCUUUGGUGUUGUUUUGUUUAUAUUUAUUGCCGCUAUUUUGACCGUCCUCAAAACAUUGAUUACUAGUUUUUUUAUCAGCACUUUUCAUUGCUAUAAAAUGGACAAAACUUUAAGAGUUAUUAGUAUUCAUGUAACAGCGUAAUAAAGAGCAGAUUUACGGUAUGAAUAAAUAUUUCUAAACAAAGUUACCAUCUUUAUUGUUCGUUGGCAUUAGGGAUGUAACAAUAAAGUAUGGAAAAAUAUGAAGGACUUUAACCGCAUGUGGCGCUCUCGUUUUCGCACGCCACUCUCACGCUCACACUCGGAAACAACCCCCACCUCUGGAAUCAGACCCCGCCUACUUCUCUGCACGCGAAAUUCAUUUGUGCAAAAGACGGGUUAGUGUGAGGAGCUCCUCAAAACUCCGGAGCUUUAAGGAAGAACGUACAGAAAGCAAAAAGAACUUACAGCGGGAGCAUGUAAGACCCUCGCCGUCUUUUUCGAUGAUGUUGUCCGUGAGCAAGCCUUCGACGGCGGCCUUGUCUGGACUCUCUGGCGUAAGAAAAGCCUCCUUUCCACCCGGAGCAAAAAGGGAACAUUUGUAAGUAAAUAUAUAUAUAUAUAUAUAUUGUAUAUUGUAUGUUUUUUUUUUUUCUUCUAAAAUGAAAAUCAUUUGACUCGUCAGAUAUAUUAAAGUUCUAUAAUUUGGUAAAAUUGCAAAUAGCUAAAAUAAUGUACAAAGCAGACUAUAACCUGCCACCCUAGAACGUACAACAAUUAUUCUCAACAACAACAAAAAAAAAAGGAAAAAUAUAACCUUAAAAAAAAAGAAAGAAAAAAAAGUGUGUGUGUGCGUGUGUGUGUGUGUGUGAGCACAUGCUGUUUAUUACACGUGUGAUUUUUGAACAUUUUGAGGACUUUUGACCACUUUUCCAACUUUUCUCCACCACUCCUCCCACGACUUUGUCGGGGUUCACAAGGCCGGCUGCGGGACUCGUGGGACUGGAACCCUGAGAGCUGAAACAAGCAAAUAUCUCCUGUCUGAUAUUUGAAAACCUAUCCAAAAGAUCCAACCAUUCCGUAAGCAUCCAAGCACCAUUUCUCACGCAAAGACUCGGUUGGAGGAAUUUGAGUGCGUUUCAAAAAAACUCUACUUUUGCGAGGAGCGGCCAGGCUUCUCUGAUGCACAAUGAUGCAACACAACAAACUUUUCCAAAGAAUAUGGCACCUCCGGUGCCGACUUCUCGACUCCCGAGUGAUGCAAUGCUUUGGUCAGCGACUGCAUUUGGCGA
Nerophis lumbriciformis (worm pipefish) is the source of this 1428-nucleotide long non-coding RNA. RefSeq lists it as uncharacterized. The record is from RefSeq and is a predicted model, not a curated record. NCBI's taxonomy places the organism in Eukaryota, Metazoa, Chordata, Actinopteri, Syngnathiformes, Syngnathidae.